This 357-nucleotide unclassified non-coding RNA is filed under the name uncultured fungus. RNAcentral's name for it is "partial contains small subunit ribosomal RNA, internal transcribed spacer 1, and 5.8S ribosomal RNA". The stretch from base 1 to 73 matches the Rfam family "Eukaryotic small subunit ribosomal RNA", at positions 1759 to 1831 of the family's 1831-position model. The record is from RNAcentral. Lineage: Eukaryota; Fungi.
GCAAACUUGGUCAUUUAGAGGAAGUACAAGUCGUAACAAGGUAUCCGUAGGUGAACCUGCGGAUGGAUCAUUGAAGGAUUUGGGUUUUUUUGUGGGGUGUGGAAUUGUUUUUGGCAUGGGUGGGAUAUUUGAUUAGUUGGCGGUAGGAGGGAUAUCUGCGGUUUGGGGUACUUUGGCGCUGUUGAAGUUACUCUGCACCGUUGGAGUUACUCUGCACCGUUGGAGUCCUUCUUCUCAUAAAAACUCUUGAAAUCUCCCGCCCUGCCAUAUUGCUUGUCUUCAAUACUGACUUGAUAUCAAUCAAUUACAACUUUUAGCAACGGAUCUCUUGGCUCUCGCAUCGAUGAAGAACGCAGC